Molecule: long non-coding RNA, 4344 nt
Organism: Scophthalmus maximus (turbot)
Lineage: Eukaryota; Metazoa; Chordata; Actinopteri; Pleuronectiformes; Scophthalmidae
Source: Ensembl
AGAGGCUCAACCCUCUUCCAGAAAUGAGGCUGGUGCUCGUCGGCGGCAGGAAAACGGGCAAAAAGCUCCUGCGGCAACACCAUCCUGAGCGAAGGGUGCUUCGACACGGACGCCCGAACCACCUCCUGCGCGGAGAAACGAGGCAAAAUCCGCAGCAAGGUGGUAACAGUGCUGGACACGCCCGGAGGCCUCUCGCUGACCUCUGACCUCCUCGGGGCUCCUUCCUCCUGCGCUAUCCUCCUCGUUGUCAACGUGAGCUCAUCGUUCACAGGCGCCCACGGGGAGGCCCUGGAGAAACAGCUGGAGGCCGCGGGAGGCCAGAUGUGGAGCAGAGCCGCGGUGCUGUUCAGCCACGGCGACUGGCUGGGCGACACGAGCGUCGAGCGGCGCAUCGAGAGCGAGGGGGAGCCGCUGCGGAGGCUCGUCGAGAAGUGCGGCAACCGGUAUCACGUCCUGGAUAACCGACGCGCGCGAGGGGGCGGAGCUCAGGUCGACGAGCUGAUCCAACUGAUGGAGGAGACGCUGGCCGAAGAGAGGCUGGCGGCGCUCCGCGGGGGGGAUCGCAUGUGGAGAAGUGUGCAGGAGCCCGACACCGUGACGCUGUGUGAAGAAGAUCUAAAGGUGAACUGUGACGUGACGGAAUCGGCCACUUGCUCGAUACAGAGAACAGGAAACUGCUCCGACGGUGCAGAUGCCGGCGGGCAGAUAGUGGCGGUGCCAGCAGCAGGAGGCCGGGCAGGACUCACCCUCCUGGGCAGAGACACAUUGGUGUCCAUCUUAGCCUCUGUGCUCUCUGGUAGAAAUGGACUGAGGUGUGCUGCUGCCGGGCAACAGGGCGUAACGGCACACCUGCCCCUCUUCUUCCCCGCCGAUGACCCCCACCGCAGCCUGAGUCGGAACGGCGGAAGCCGAGUGCGUCCGUUCUCGCCCGCACAUCCGACCGUGCUCUUUAUUCUACCUCAAACACGGAGCAGGGCGCCGACGGAAGACAGCGCCGUCGUCGACGUGCAUCCCCUUUGCCACCCUGCUCUGAGAGAGCGGACCCUCAGGAGGCUCGCGGAGUCCGGGGGCCUGCAGCUGCUGAUCGACCAGUGGGGCCACAGCAGCCUGGAGGAACUGGAGGCCUUCAUAGACACGUACUUCGAGAUGGUGUGGGAGAAAACCAUGGGCUCGUUUCCGACGGCCGAGCCCGAGUCCGCUGCGGUCGAGGAGGAGGACGAGGUGCUCUCGUCCAUCGACAGGAAACUGUCAAAGCUGGAGCUCCUUGACGAGAUCAGGGGCGACCUGGCGAAGCUCAGGGAGAGUCUGGAGCGCAGCUGGAUGGUCAUUCAGGAACUCAGGGACAAAAGUAAAGGAGACCCCAAUAAUACAUGUUAAUACAGGGGGAAAUCCAUAUUCGAACAUGGAGGUAGUAAGGUUGUACCCCACUUUAUUUAUUUGCUAACGUUUUUUUGCAUUAACAAUGCAAAGUAUAAUUCAUCAUAAUAUAUUUUUCAUAGGUUAAUAAGAUAAGAUAACACUUUAUUGAACCCGGGGGGUUGAUACAUCAAUCUAUAAUACAAAUGUCUAAUAUACUACAUUUUGAAAAGGUCAUUCUGACAAAUAAGGAUAUAUAUAGAUAUCUAUAUCUAUAUCUAUCUAUAUAGAUAUAGAUAUAUAUAUACACGCUUCUGUACUUUUUGAAUUCAGGACUGUAUUGACUGUUUUUUUAUUAUUUUUUUUUUACCUUAGAUCUCUUCCUCCACCAUUAUAGUGUUGUUCUUAUAUUUCUCCACAAGGGGGAGCCCUUGUAUAAGAAUGGGCCUUGCAUUAUAUGUAAACUUGUGUCCACUCAUCCACCAGAAUACAUUUGUUUUUCUAAGAAAUCUUGGACUAGACAAAGCGAGUUUGAUUCUGAGUUAAAAAAUGGCAAUUGAAUUUACAUUUCCGAUUAUCUUCAAUAUGCACAAAUAUACACUUGCGAUACAUAAUAUACACGUGUAAAAAUCUUUAGUUUUUUGUUAAGUCUAAUUCCCAGGCAAAAUUUGUGCAUUUACUUUGUGUCGGUCUUGUUUUGACUAAACAGUGUUUCUAACAAUUUACUCUGAAAUAAUAAAGCAGAGCAGCACCACAGACAGUAAUAUUGUGCCCCUGAGCAGCACAGACAUACGUGUUAUAUUGAAUAUGUCAUUCAAAUAACCGUGGGCUUUAGUCUGCUGCUAAAACAGCUCUCAUCGAUAAGGUUUUUUUUCCACAGGAAUUUGAAACCUGGCUGCAGGGAUGCGCUCCCGUUCAGCCAAGAACAUUAGCUCAAUUAGGGCCUGGCUCUCGAUUGACUCUGUGCUAGGCCAGUCAAUUUUUUCCACAUUAAACUGUGAAAAAACAUUUCUUUAUGGACAUCCCCUGCGUGAGCGGCAAAGCAUAAAGGAAGAGGAGGAGGGAGAGAUGGGUCAAUAAUUAUUAACAGGCCAUAGAUUAAGAGUUUUAACCACAGCGUCCUUCAAAGUACUGUUAUGCGCCUGUCAUAUAUAUAUAUAUAUAUAUAAGCAAUAUUCACAGUUGUAGGAGAUCAUUAAAAAGUUGCUACAGUAGCUAGUACAACAUUUCAAGUGAGAUAGAAAAGUAACCCUGGACAAUACUUUAUAAUUAAUAAUUGGAAGGGUUAAUUUUUAUGAUAACUCCCUCACCUUUACUACCCAACGAUUCCGUGCAGGUUUGCAGCGUCUUGCACCGAAGCUUUGAAAGUCUGAAAUGAAUCAUAUUCAUCAUCUGCUAGGGGGGGAAGUCAAUCUCUGUGUGUGUGUGUGUGUGUGUGUGUGUGUGUGUGUGUGUGUGUGUGUGUGUGUGUGUGUGUGUGUGUGUGUGUGUGUGUGUGUGUGUGUGUGUGUGUGUGUGUGUGUGUGUGUGUGUGUGUGUGUGUGUGUGUGUGUGUGUGUUCUUCUAGUUUAGAGCCAAACAACUCUCACCUUCACAAAUCUGACAGUCGAUCAGAUUCAGGAAGCAUUUCCUUUGUGGAGGAAAUAGACGAUCUGUGCCGCUUCCACUCAAAAGCUUUUCCUUUUUCUUUUCUUUCAUGAUUUAUCAAGGGCUUUCAAGUGAGUUUCACACACACACACAAACACGCAGACACACGCUAAUGCACAAUUCAGAGAAAUAAUGGGGCUGUGGAAGAGUAAACAGUAUGGAGGUCCACUGCUGCCAAGGCUGAUUUGUACAAAACAAAACAAAACUAAAAAAUCCCCACGAAUAAAAAUGUACGGUAACAUCACGAUCAGGUCAUGAUGAGUGGGUGAAGUAGUUUGAUCCCGUCUCCUGUUUCCGUGCACAAACAAGAAACAUCUGAAAGCAGCAGUUUGCUAUUUUUAGUCUGAUGUGCUCAUUUCUCACCGGCAACAUCUCUGUGUUUUCCUUCUCUUUGAUUAAAGCUGCGUUGGGGGGCGUCUCUGCACGUGGGCGCCUCCACACGGGGAGGAGAGCUUCAACCCCCCCCCAACAAACGGAUGUCAGGGGACUGAACACAGUCUGACGCUUCGUACUUUCGACUCACCGCAGCUUAAGAGUUUGGAUUUUCACUGUUGUGAGUUUUGUUGAGCAAAAGAAAUACUCAUGGGCCGUAAUUAUGACAUAGCACAGCAUAGAUGAGUGAGGUUUUUAUUAAUUCGGCAUUUUGUUACUGUACCGCUAUUAGGGAAGGUCAUUUCUUUUAGAUAAAACAAGUUUUGGUUUUGAUUCGGAUGGAUUAUGGAUUCACCUUUAGUGAUUCGCAGGCAAUGAUGGUUUAUUUAUCUCUGCCAGUCGCCAUUGUCUUUCUUUUGCAUUAUACUUCUUUGAAUAUCAUCACUCCCUCCAUCCCCCCUCUCCCUGCUCUCUCAUCAUCUGUCUUCCUCUGCUGUCAGCGUGUCAUCCCUCCACUCUGUUCUCCCGCCGCUCAUCUUCUUCUCUCUUGCCCGUCCUCGUCGUUCUAUGCCUCCCCGCGUCUCCUUCUGUCUGACGUCCCACUCUCUCUCUCUCUCUCUCUCUCUCUCUCUCUCUCUCUCUGCUCUUCUCUUCCCCCUGUGGUCUCCCCAUCCUUCUCUGGAACCAAGUCGUGAGUGCUCAGCCCUCCCCUCUCAUUGGAGGAGUUCUGCAGCCCAUGGAGGAAGUGCAGGAGAAACCAACCCUCACCUCCCUCCCUCCUCCCUCUCUCUUUCUCUUUCUGUUCAAGAGACAACUCUGAGCCCACAUCCAUCUCCAUUAGCAGGACAGCGCAGCGGCCGGCCCGCCGCCCCCCCCCCCCACCCACCCGCCCGCCCUGUAUCACGUUUCACUUGCCUGCUAUUUUUCCAGGUGGAACAAGGAAAGCCAGGGCGGAGAGAUGGGCAGAGG